RNAcentral lists this ribosomal RNA (860 nucleotides) under Microbacterium aurum. RNAcentral describes it as "bacterial SSU rRNA". It matches the Rfam family "Bacterial small subunit ribosomal RNA", at positions 9 to 873 of the family's 1533-position model. Lineage: Bacteria; Bacillati; Actinomycetota; Actinomycetes; Micrococcales; Microbacteriaceae. The record is from RNAcentral.
AGUCAGAGUUUUGAUCCUGGCUCAGGAUGAACGCUGGCGGCGUGCUUAACACAUGCAAGUCGAACGGUGAAAGAGAGCUUGCUCUCUGGAUCAGUGGCGAACGGGUGAGUAACACGUGAGCAAUCUGCCCCUGACUCUGGGAUAACAGCUGGAAACAGCUGCUAAUACCGGAUACGAGCUGCGAAGGCAUCUUCAGCAGCUGGAAAGAAUUUCGGUCAGGGAUGAGCUCGCGGCCUAUCAGCUUGUUGGUGAGGUAACGGCUCACCAAGGCGUCGACGGGUAGCCGGCCUGAGAGGGUGACCGGCCACACUGGGACUGAGACACGGCCCAGACUCCUACGGGAGGCAGCAGUGGGGAAUAUUGCACAAUGGGCGAAAAGCCUGAUGCAGCAACGCCGCGUGAGGGACGACGGCCUUCGGGUUGUAAACCUCUUUUAGCAGGGAAGAAGCGAAAGUGACGGUACCUGCAGAAAAAGCACCGGCUAACUACGUGCCAGCAGCCGCGGUAAUACGUAGGGUGCAAGCGUUAUCCGGAAUUAUUGGGCGUAAAGAGCUCGUAGGCGGUUUGUCGCGUCUGCUGUGAAAACUGGAGGCUCAACCUCCAGCCUGCAGUGGGUACGGGCAGACUAGAGUGCGGUAGGGGAGAUUGGAAUUCCUGGUGUAGCGGUGGAAUGCGCAGAUAUCAGGAGGAACACCGAUGGCGAAGGCAGAUCUCUGGGCCGUAACUGACGCUGAGGAGCGAAAGGGUGGGGAGCAAACAGGCUUAGAUACCCUGGUAGUCCACCCCGUAAACGUUGGGAACUAGUUGUGGGGACCAUUCCACGGUUCCGUGACGCAAGCUAACGCAUUAAGUCCCCGGCA